Molecule: ribosomal RNA, 246 nt
Filed under: uncultured bacterium
Lineage: Bacteria
Description: partial 16S ribosomal RNA
Rfam family: Bacterial small subunit ribosomal RNA
Source: RNAcentral
CGUGGGUAACCUGCCCAAGAGACUGGGAUAACACCUGGAAACAGAUGCUAAUACCGGAUAACAACACUAGACGCAUGUCUAGAGUUUAAAAGAUGGUUCUGCUAUCACUCUUGGAUGGACCUGCGGUGCAUUAGCUAGUUGGUAGGGUAACGGCCUACCAAGGCGAUGAUGCAUAGCCGAGUUGAGAGACUGAUCGGCCACAUUGGGACUGAGACACGGCCCAAACUCCUACGGGAGGCAGCAGGG